GUGAAUCGAUAGUAAAGUUGUGAUUGCGUUAUUCGUUUUCUUGCACGUAUCUCUCUACUAUAUUUAUCUAAUCACAAAAUCAAGGUUUCCUGAUAUAGAUAAGUGUUUUAAUUAGGUAGGUUACUAAUUGAAUGAUUUAUAAAUUGUCUUGUUAUCUAAUAGGCUGAUUAAAUAAGUAUCUGACUACAGAAAUUGCAAUUCCGUUAGUUAAAUUCCCAUAUGGCUAAAACUUUUGUGUAUGAUUUGCAUGUGUUUUCAACUUUUUUGGGUGCCCGAUUGUUUUCUCGUUUAAAUGACCCGUGGCGCAUGAAUCCUUGGACUCCACUCGCAUCUUGAAAGCUUGCUAGAGAUAAUGGAUAUGCUCGCAAUGAUGAGUAUUGUUUUUAUUUAUUAGUAUUUAUACGCUAUUAGGUAUACCGCACUGUCUUCUGCUACAUUUUGUGCCAAAGACCGAUAACAGGUUAUAACAUUUUUAACCGACUUCAAAAAAAGGAGGAGGUUCUCAAUUCAUCGAAUCUUUUUUUUUAACACCUAGAAUUUUCAACAUAUAUUUUAAUCUUCCGUAAUUUUUUUUUGUCAAAGCAAACGGCCGGCCAGGCCAUACAUAGAUUGGAUAUUAAGUUUUUUUCCAUCUAACUUAGCGUAGUAUCGUAUAACCCAAGCAACUAAAUGGCGGCAAUAAGGCCUGUUUACUCAUACAUAUUAUGAAACAUCCGUAGUGUAUGUAAAAGAAGUUGUUACCAGAAAUGCAAGAAACUUAGGAUUUUUAUAGCGCAAUGCAGAACCAAUUUGGUAAAUGUGUUGAAUAGUUAAUAAUAAUUUGUCAAAACUUUUUUAAUACUAUUUCUUAAGCAUUGUACCUAUGCAAUUCCUAAAUAAUACUAAAAAACUUAAGUAUAAAAAAUAACGUAAUAUUGUUAUAACAGAAAAGUCGUUAUGUCGUUCUUUCAUUCAGAAGCUGAAUGAAAGGACAAAGCCGAACUUUAUUUAAAAAAAAUGAAAUACUUAAUAUUUUUCGUUUAUGCCUUGUGUCGUCAUCAAUCGUCUUCCGUACAUCGUGACGUUAAUAUAAUAAAUUAUGUUAUAAAUAAGAGAAAAUAAUGACAUUUAUUUAAUUAUUCUUCUUAAUAAUUAAUGUUUGCCCCAUAAACUAUCGCUAUACAAAACAUCACAUUGUAUUACUACAGUCCAAGACUGUACGGAUGAGCCAUGAAAAGCUGACAGACAGACAGGAUAGUAUGGAUAUGGAUGAUGGAUUAAGUACAUACAUUUCUGGUAACAUAAUAUUAUACAAUAGAAUAUACAAAUCGCCACUAGCAUUUCGGUUUUUUAGGUGCGGGUUGUAGUCAUAAUUUAAUUAAUUUUCAUUAACUUGACAUUGAAUAAAAGAGGUCAAACAAGGCAAUUAUUUCGGUACUAUUUUUGGAAUAGCUACUGUACAACAGUUGCUGUAUGGGUACUGAACAGCGCGAUUAAAUGCUUUUAUAUUAUAUAUGUAUAACAUGCUAUUUUAUAUUACUUAGGUAUGUUAAUUUUUAAAUUUUCGGCUUUUCGUGUUGUGAUAUUUUAAUAGUAUAGCUUCUGGAUAUGGCUGUUGACGAAAUGAAUUGUCUCUAGGACAAUGUAGAAACUACAUUUACAUAAUUCGUUUUUUAUAGUUUGUUUGUUUUAGGGUUCCGUAACUCAAAA
This is a long non-coding RNA of Maniola jurtina (meadow brown), 1689 nucleotides long. RefSeq lists it as uncharacterized. The transcript has 2 exons. NCBI's taxonomy places the organism in Eukaryota, Metazoa, Arthropoda, Insecta, Lepidoptera, Nymphalidae. The record is from RefSeq and is a predicted model, not a curated record.